CCUACGGGGGGCAGCAGUGGGGAAUAUUGGACAAUGGGGGCAACCCUGAUCCAGCCAUGCCGCGUGUGUGAAGAAGGCCCUCGGGUUGUAAAGCACUUUCAGUGAGGAAGAACGCCUGGUGGUUAAUACCCAUCAGGAAAGACAUCACUCACAGAAGAAGCACCGGCUAACUCCGUGCCAGCAGCCGCGGUAAUACGGAGGGUGCGAGCGUUAAUCGGAAUUACUGGGCGUAAAGCGCGCGUAGGUGGCUUGAUAAGCCGGUUGUGAAAGCCCCGGGCUCAACCUGGGAACGGCAUCCGGAACUGUCAAGCUAGAGUGCAGGAGAGGAAGGUAGAAUUCCCGGUGUAGCGGUGAAAUGCGUAGAGAUCGGGAGGAAUACCAGUGGCGAAGGCGGCCUUCUGGACUAACACUGACACUGAGGUGCGAAAGCGUGGGUAGCAAACAGGAUUAGAUACCCUGGUAGUC
This 465-nucleotide ribosomal RNA is filed under the name Vreelandella stevensii. RNAcentral describes it as "partial 16S ribosomal RNA". It matches the Rfam family "Bacterial small subunit ribosomal RNA", at positions 338 to 795 of the family's 1533-position model. Lineage: Bacteria; Pseudomonadati; Pseudomonadota; Gammaproteobacteria; Oceanospirillales; Halomonadaceae. The record is from RNAcentral.